RNAcentral lists this unclassified non-coding RNA (263 nucleotides) under plant metagenome. RNAcentral's name for it is "partial contains small subunit ribosomal RNA, internal transcribed spacer 1, and 5.8S ribosomal RNA". The record is from RNAcentral.
UUUCCGUAGGUGAACCUGCGGAAGGAUCAUUAUUGUAUAACCGAGGUGCGAGGGCUGUCGCUGACCCGACAGGUCGUGCACGCCCGAGUGCCCUCACACACAUCCACCUCACCCCUAUGUGCACCACCGCGUGGGUCCCCCUUUGGCUUGUUCGGAGGGGGGCUUACGUUUUCACACAAACUUUGUAUGCAGUGUAGAAUGUAUUUUUUGUUUUUGCGAUCACGCAAUCAAUACAACUUUCAACAACGGAUCUCUUGGCUCUC